UAGGGAAUCUUCGGCAAUGGGGGGAACCCUGACCGAGCAACGCCGCGUGAGUGAAGAAGGUUUUCGGAUCGUAAAGCUCUGUUGUUAAGGAAGAACGAGUGUGAGAAUGGAAAGUUCAUGCUGUGACGGUACUUAACCAGAAAGGGACGGCUAACUACGUGCCAGCAGCCGCGGUAAUACGUAGGUCACGAGCGUUGUCCGGAUUUAUUGGGCGUAAAGCGAGCGCAGGCGGUUAGAAAAGUCUGAAGUGAAAGGAAGUGGCUCAACCAUUGUAGGCUUUGGAAAAUGUUUAACUUGAGUGCAGAAGGGGAGAGUGGAAUUCCAUGUGUAGCGGUGAAAUGCGUAGAUAUAUGGAGGAACACCGGUGGCGAAAGCGGGUCUCUGGUCUGUAACUGACGCUGAGGCUCGAAAGCGUGGGGAGCGAACAGG
RNAcentral lists this ribosomal RNA (429 nucleotides) under Bacteroidota bacterium. RNAcentral's name for it is "Bacteroidetes bacterium partial 16S ribosomal RNA". It matches the Rfam family "Bacterial small subunit ribosomal RNA", at positions 355 to 776 of the family's 1533-position model. The record is from RNAcentral. Lineage: Bacteria; Pseudomonadati; Bacteroidota.